UUCUGAGACUACUAUAACACAGAGAUUGGUCACUUCCUGUACUGACCAGUCAAAUCGUGAUUAUUUUUGUGUCAUCGAUAACAUCUGAGUCACGUGACUUGAUGGGUUCGACAAGAUGGAAAAAUCCGCCAUCUUUGACUGCUGAAGAAAAAUAAUUAUUUAGCGAAUGUGUAUGUUUAAAGAGGUUUAUAUUUCGGAUUAUCCCAGAAAGAAAUCAUGCAUUGGAUUUGGAAGAACGUUGAAGUCUACUGGACAAAGUGAAAAAAAAUAAUUAUUAUUUUAAAAUUUCAUUGUCAUAUUGUUGUUAUGCUUGUCUCAGUAUAUGGAGAAAUAAAUAUUUAUGAAUUUUGA
Molecule: long non-coding RNA, 351 nt
Organism: Mytilus trossulus (common blue mussel)
Lineage: Eukaryota; Metazoa; Mollusca; Bivalvia; Mytilida; Mytilidae
Exons: 2
Source: RefSeq, a predicted model, not a curated record